This is a small nuclear RNA of Lutra lutra (Eurasian river otter), 109 nucleotides long. The record is from RefSeq and is a predicted model, not a curated record. Lineage: Eukaryota; Metazoa; Chordata; Mammalia; Carnivora; Mustelidae.
GUGCUCACUUUUGCAACAUUUAUACUUAAAAAUUGGCAUGAUUCAGAGAAGAUUAUAAUGGCCCAUGCACAAAGGAUGACACGAAAAAUGAAAUGUGUGCAUGGGGAUA